Felis catus (domestic cat) is the source of this 1391-nucleotide long non-coding RNA. RefSeq lists it as uncharacterized. NCBI's taxonomy places the organism in Eukaryota, Metazoa, Chordata, Mammalia, Carnivora, Felidae. The transcript has 4 exons. The record is from RefSeq and is a predicted model, not a curated record.
AAGCGCCGGGCUGCAGAAAGUGGGUGUGCGCGGGCGCCGGCCUACAGUGAGUACUAACCCCAAGCCCUAGCAUGGUCGUUACCUAGCGGUGUGACCUUGGACGAGUCCCUUCACCUCCCCGAUCCUUUGUUUCCCAUUGCAUUAGGGAGGGGGUGAAGUUAGACUGGUGUUUCUGGAACCCAUACUGGCUGCCAGAAGGAAGAAAGGAUGCCUGUUCUGGGGGAGAAGACUGACAUUCCUCCUCCCUGUCUCCCCUGUGUCAGGAUCUCUGCGGCCUGAGUGCCGUGACUGAGGCACAGUCCUGCCUUGAACUGGCUGUGUGACCUGAAGGCAGCCGCUUCACCUCUCUGGUCUCAGCGUCCUCCUCGGCAGAAGAGGCAGUGAUGCUCAGGUUUAUGGAGUACCUACUGCGGCCCAGGCCCUGUUUUAGUCUCUGUAUACUCCUGAGAAAGAUGUGAUGAACUCGACAAAUUCCUUCGUUCUACAGGAAGAAAGAAGGUUAUACAAGAGCAGUGGGCUUCUGAGAAAAUGAGGAAAUGCUAACCUCAUUGACCGGCCUCCUGCAUCUGCCCUGAGGGACAGUAAUAAGAACCCCAUCUCGCAGGUCACCUUUGAAGAAAAGUCAUGCUGCUUUUAAAAAGUAUGAAAAUCACUGGUAAAUGCCUUGAAGGCAAGCUGAGGAGUUUGAGCUCCAUGUGGUGAACAGUAGGGAAGCUAUGAGGAUGUGGACAGAAGAACAAUAAGACUAAAGCAAUGCUUUUUCCAAACUCUUCUCAAAUUCUUCAGUGUGUGUGGAGUCGGCUGGAAAGGGAAACAAGCACAUUCUCCAGGAAGGGCCAGUAGGAGACUGAAUCUUCCUCCCAGAUGCCUGCUGUCUCUGUCCUCUGCUGAGCAGUCUCACGGACCGCAUUGCUGGCUAGCAUCCUGCCCGAAUCAUGACGGCGGCCCUCUGCACUCUGCCUUCAGACUCUCUCCAAAACCCUUAUCCUGCUGUUCCGUUCCAUGUGCCCCAGCCCCCCACAGUUCUUCCUUGGUCAUGGGAGAAAAACCAAACUACCUCGCUUGUCAUUCAAGGCCCCACAACGUAACAAACUCUGCCUAUCUGCUACUAGUCACCCUUUGUCUCUGGCUGGCUAUACCUUCUUACAGUGUAAGACCCCCAAACAUGGUGCAUAUUUCCUCUUGUGUAUCUCAGGCCAUGCCCUGGUCCUAGGAUGCACCCCCAGACACACACCACAGACCCACACACACACACACCUGUACUUAGGACGCAAUCCUUGUAGACGUCACACAAAUUCCACCGGCCUUUUUGACCAUGUUCGGUCAUAUCUGUCUCUCCCCUAAGCAUGCCCGGAGGAACCCUGCCUCUUAAAUACUUAUUCUGGCAGUGA